Molecule: unclassified non-coding RNA, 4476 nt
Filed under: Hevea brasiliensis (rubber tree)
Lineage: Eukaryota; Viridiplantae; Streptophyta; Magnoliopsida; Malpighiales; Euphorbiaceae
Source: RNAcentral
GAGAGAGAGAGAAAGAGAGAGAGAUAUUAAAGAAAAUGACAAGUUUAUCUUUUUUCUUUUUCUAUCUCAAUUACUUCUCUCUCUAUUCCUUCUCUUCUAUUUUUAUCUGUUGGGUGCCCAUCUGAUCCUUUACUUUGUUCUCUCAAAUUUUAAUCGUAAAUUCUCUGCUUUUUUCUGUCCACUGUUUUCUGCUAUCAUUUCUCUUAAUAAAAAAGCUUUUAUCUUUCUUGAUUUAUAUCAUUCAAUUUGACACUUACCAUUUUUCUCUUUCUGUACAAAAUUUUCUUUUUGAUCCUUUAUUUCACAGUUUCAUUGCUUUUUGUAUUCUCGGGUUUCUUUGUCGAUAAUCGGGUUUGAAGAUUUCGCCUUUUCCCACUUUUUCUCUCUCAAUAGAUAACCUUUUAUAUUUUCUGUGGGUUUGAUUUGGAGGUUAAGAUGAUGAUGAUGAUGUCAAUGGAGGGGAUGAUGGAUAAGGGAGUUUUGGAUGAUAUAAUCAGGAGGCUAUUGGACGGGAGAGGGGGCAAGCAGGUGCAGCUAUCUGAAGGAGAGAUCCGUCAAUUAUGUGUAAACGCACGCCAAAUCUUCCUCUCUCAGCCUACUCUCCUUCAGUUAAAAGCUCCCAUUCGCAUCUGUGGUCAGCACACACCCCUCCUCCUCCUCCUCCUAGUAUAAUAGCAUGAUAUUGAUUAAUCUUAUUAUGCAAUACUUUGAUGUUGGGUGCCUUUUAUUCUUAUUUAUUUCUUGGAUUUAUUGGUUUGUUUGUUGAGAAACAGAGGAAGUAAAUCAUCAUAGUUUGGAUAAUUUGUAUGGAAUGGGUGUUGCUUUGCAUGAUUGGCCAUCGUGAGAUCUCGCGAUUGAAUUUUAAUUGUGGAAGGGUUGUAAUUGUAGCUUGUCGGGUGAAAGGGUUGAUUUAUUGGAUAACUGUUCUAUUUGAUUAUUGAUGGGGAAGCUUGAUGUGGUAAGUAUCAUGUUUUUUUCUUGGUAAUCACCAUUGCAUAUUUCACUUUUUCCUCCCCACAUUUGUAUUUGGUUGUGUGGACGCAAUACGUAGAAUCAAAAGUUGGUGCUGGAGAAUAUCUACUAUUGUUUGAGUCUUAUUUUUUCUUCGGAAAUUUGCUACAGGAAUAAUCAAAUCCAAAAUUUUAAGGCAUUGCUUUGUGAUUUUGUUGGGUCAAAUUGAUUGCCUCUUACUCCUUUGGUGCUGUUGGAGCCUGUGUUUAGCCAUAAAUGUAAUGAUCCAAAAUGCUAAAGGGAAGCAACAUGCUUGUCUUUGAAUGUGAAUGGCCAGAGAUAGAAAAUGAUUUGUAUUUGAGGAAAGACCAGAAGUUGUCUUUCAAUUUCUUCACUGUUUGUCAAUGAACAAUUUCCUUUAUUGAAUAAUUUAGAUUAUUACUGCUGAUUUGUAUAGGUGAGAAGAAAAAAGUAAUGUGUGCGCACGCGCGGGGGUGUGUCUGUGUGUGUAUAUAUUAUUCAUCUCCUUAAUCCUUCUCUCUGUUCCUUUAUGUCUGAUAUCGUAUGUGUUACAGGUGAUAUACAUGGACAAUAUCAAGACCUCCUGAGGCUAUUUGAAUAUGGUGGCUACCCUCCUUCUUUCAACUAUCUUUUUCUUGGAGAUUAUGUUGAUCGAGGGAAGCAAAGUUUGGAGACCAUAUGUCUGCUUCUGGCCUACAAAAUCAGAUAUCCUGACAAAGUUUUUCUCUUGAGAGGAAAUCAUGAGGAUGCAAAGAUCAAUCGGAUAUAUGGGUUUUAUGAUGAGUGUAAAAGAAGAUUCAACGUUAGGCUUUGGAAAAUAUUUACCGACUGCUUUAAUUGUUUGCCCGUGGCUGCACUAAUUGAUGAGAAGAUACUGUGUAUGCACGGCGGCCUAUCUCCAGAAUUGGAGAAUGUGAACCAAAUAAGAGAAAUUCAGAGGCCUACUGAAAUUCCUGAUAGUGGUCUUCUUUGUGAUCUGCUCUGGUCUGACCCUGAUGCUAAGGUUGAGGGCUGGUCAGACAGUGAUCGAGGUGUUUCAUGUACCUUUGGACCUGAUCGGGUUGCUGAGUUUUUGGAUAAGAAUGACCUUGAUCUCAUUUGCCGAGGUCAUCAGGUAACCAAUUCUUACAUAAGCAAGCUUACUACGAAUAAAAGAUGGAUAUUUAUAUUCCCCUGCUGUCAUUCAAGUUCUUUGCUUCCAUGCUUUUUUUUUCUUUCAAUUUUCUUGUUAGAAUCCCCUAGAUUUGAGGUAGGAUUGGUCCCCUUGCCUUCAAAUUUAGCAAUAUAGAGUCCUUGUAGGUGGAAUAUGGUAGAUCAUGAUGGGAGAUAUCUCUUAUCGAUGUUAGUCACAAAAGGCUAAUCUAUAAUUGGACCAAGUUUUCUGGAAAAAUUACCAUGCAGGAACUCUUCCCACGAUUUUGUUUUCUUUUGCUUGAAAUUUCUAAUUUGGCAAGCUUAUCUUUCAAUCUAAGGAAAGAUUCCUUUAUAAUAAACAGUGUUUGCGAGUGAAAAUGUGCUGUAUCACAAUAGCCCUUAACUACAAUCAAAAGGGUAUGAUAGAUGUUCCCUUGUAUUGGUGAUUAGUAAUAGGUAACUUCAGCCAUCAUUUUGUGUGACAUACACGUGGAACAACUUCAAGCACAAUAACAGUUGUUUUGUUUUAUCGGGACCUGAGAACAUGAUUAAUUAUGAAAUUCAGCAUUUCCAUAUGAAUUUUUUUUCUGUUAAAUUGCAGGUGGUGGAGGAUGGAUAUGAGUUUUUUGCCAAACGAAGUCUAGUCACAAUAUUUUCAGCUCCAAACUAUGGGGGGGAGUUUGACAAUGCAGGUGCUUUAUUGAGUGUUGAUGAAUCUCUAGUGUGUUCCUUUGAGAUAUUGAAGCCAGCUGCAUCAGCAAGCAGUUCAAAGUUGUCCCUUAAGAAGGUUAUAAAUCUGACUCUUUUUUUGUCUGCCUUAUUUAAUAUGGGAUGACUGACCUUGGCUUCCUGUGUGAGACUUCCAUGUUGGGAAACCAUCUGACCUUUUUCUUGUCCCUGUUCAAACAGCCUCCUAAAGUUGGAAAUAUCUAACAUGGGCAAAGGAACUUGGAGAUUCCUGGUUUUGAAUACGAGAUAGAGCGAGCUCACUUCAUGCUUCGGUUUGAACUCUCUGUUAUGGGGCAGUCUUACGAGAUGAGAAAACUUUUAACCCUAUUAAAGGAGCAGACGAUUCAAUUUGCAAUGCAGAUUACUAGAGGAAAAAAAAAUCUGUAGAUCAAAGGUACUUGCUAUCUUCUGGCCAGGAGCUGAAAAUUUCACAUUGAACCCCAUUUGAUAAUUUCCUGUUUCCAUCGCUUAGCAUAUGCCAUCUACCGAUUCUGCCUUGAUUUUUGUUGAGUUUGUAUGAGUACCAACUGUGGUUUUCCCAUGUAAGUCCUCUUUUUUACCUUGCAUCUGUGGAUAGGCCUGGCCUACUCUUCUGGUCCCUAGAUAAGGACUGGAAAUUGGACUGCAUCUCUCGACUUGGUUUUGGUUUAAUCUGCGUGCUCCACUUUAAACCCAUGCGGGAUUCUACAAGUUUGUUUCUGCUGCGAAUAUGCAAUCACCUCACAAGGUUUCCGGAUACAGCCAUUGAUUGCCAGUUGCCCAGACAGCAUCACCGUCUUAUAUACAGUUUAAGAUUAAAAAAGUUUCAAUGAAAAUAUCGAACACCAUAAACAUGACUUCAGUUGUCCAAACCAGUAUUUACAUAUGAAACCAAGCUGUAGUGUACCAUUGAAGGAUUGCAACACAGAUCGGACUUCAAUGUCAACCCUAACAUAAAUAUUGAUAGUAGUAUUGGAAAAAGUAACGCAAUUACUAAAAUUAAUCAUCAGAAAUCCUAAGCUCAACUAAGCAAAUUCUUCAAAAAGGUAGGAAAAGAACUCCUUUAUCUCACACCAAGAAAAUUCUUUGAUACAAAACUCCCUCAUGUUUAGCAUAGUCGUUCUUGCACAAUGGCACAUGCACAUCACCCUUUGUUUCUCUUUUCAAUGUCCACAAGCAGCGCUUGAUGGUCAUUACAUGUUGUGUAGCCAUGAAGGCCUCGGUAGAUACUAGAAUUACAGCUGCUCAUUUGAAAUCAGAGCUGUAAAACAUGUAGCAUGUGUAAGUAUUAGGAACUUCAACACAGAAGAAAAAUGAAGAAAAUUAUAUCUGGAUUCAUAGCAAUUCCUGACUAAAUUCAAUUGAAGAUCAGAUGAGGACUCCCAUUACUUGAAUAAACAAUUCUCAAACUAAUUAAAUCUGCUUCCUUUGCCUAGCCUAGUUUAGUACGCUGAAGACAUAUUACUCCCCUGUCAGAGCCAGAUUCAGAGUUUUCAUUCAAUCCCCCAACUCAAAAAAAUAAUAACAUAAAAAAAUUGCUUUCUUCAAUAUGGAAUAAAAAGGAAAAGUAACAAAUUGAUUCCCAUCAUGACAAUAGUUUUACAAUUCACCUAUAAGUCAAAACAUUGUCAAGCUUACAUUCAACAAGGCAUUCAUCUUCGA